CCUACGGGAGGCAGCAGUGAGGAAUAUUGGUCAAUGGGCGCAAGCCUGAACCAGCCAUGCCGCGUGCAGGAUGAAGCAUCUAUGGUGUGUAAACUGCUUUUGUACAGGAAGAAACACUCGUUCGUGAACGAGCUUGACGGUACUGUAAGAAUAAGGACCGGCUAACUCCGUGCCAGCAGCCGCGGUAAUACGGAGGGUCCAAGCGUUAUCCGGAAUCAUUGGGUUUAAAGGGUCCGUAGGCGGUUUAGUAAGUCAGUGGUGAAAGCCCAUCGCUCAACGGUGGAACGGCCAUUGAUACUGCUAGACUUGAAUUAUUAGGAAGUAACUAGAAUAUGUAGUGUAGCGGUGAAAUGCUUAGAGAUUACAUGGAAUACCAAUUGCGAAGGCAGGUUACUACUAAUAUAUUGACGCUGAUGGACGAAAGCGUGGGGAGCGAACAGGAUUAGAUACCCUGGUAGUCCACGCCGUAAACGAUGGAUACUAGCUGUUCGGAGCAAUCUGAGUGGCUAAGCGAAAGUGAUAAGUAUCCCACCUGGGGAGUACGUUCGCAGAAUGAAACUUAAAGGAAUUGACGGCUGAGAGNGCGACGACGACGACGAGGGAGGAGG
This 608-nucleotide ribosomal RNA is filed under the name uncultured bacterium. Its description in RNAcentral is "bacterial SSU rRNA". It matches the Rfam family "Bacterial small subunit ribosomal RNA", at positions 338 to 951 of the family's 1533-position model. The record is from RNAcentral.